Molecule: ribosomal RNA, 426 nt
Filed under: uncultured prokaryote
Description: bacterial SSU rRNA
Rfam family: Bacterial small subunit ribosomal RNA
Source: RNAcentral
UGGGGAAUUUUCCGCAAUGGGCGCAAGCCUGACGGAGCAAUACCGCGUGAGGGAGGAAGGCUUUUGGGUUGUAAACCUCUUUUCUCAAGGAAGAAGUCCUGACGGUACUUGAGGAAUCAGCAUCGGCUAACUCCGUGCCAGCAGCCGCGGUAAUACGGAGGAUGCAAGCGUUAUCCGGAAUUAUUGGGCGUAAAGCGUCCGCAGGUGGUGCAUCAAGUCGGCUGUCAAAGACCAGGGCUUAACCCCGGGAAGGCAGUGGAAACUGGUGGACUAGAGUACGGUAGGGGUAGAGGGAAUUCCCAGUGUAGCGGUGAAAUGCGUAGAGAUUGGGAAGAACACCAGUGGCGAAGGCGCUCUACUGGACCUGUACUGACACUCAGGGACGAAAGCUAGGGGAGCGAAAGGGAUUAGAUACCCCUGUAGUCC